CCAAUAGCGUAUAUUAAAGUUGUUGCAGUUAAAAAGCUCGUAGUUGAAUUUCGGGAUUUGUCCAUUGGUCGGGCCUCACGGUCCGUACUGGUGUGAUGGGUUCCUACCUUCUGAAUAACCAGCAUGCCAUUUAGUUGGUGCGCCGGGGAAGCAGAGCUAUUACCUUGAAAAAAUUAGAGUGCUUAAAGCAGGCUAUUGCUUGAAUAGAUUAGCAUGGAAUAAUAAAAUAGGACGGCAUGGUUCUAUUUUGUUGGUUUCUAGGAUCACCGUAAUGAUUAAUAGUGAUAGUUGGGGGCAUUAGUAUUCAAUUGUCAGAGGUGAAAUUCUUGGAUUUAUUGAAGACUAACUUCUGCGAAAGCAUUUGCCAAGGAUGUUUUCAUUAAUCAAGAACGAAAGUUAGGGGAUCGAAGACGAUCAGAUACCGUCGUAGUCUUAACCAUAAACUAUGCCGACUAGGGAUCGGACGAUGUUAAUUCUUUAAUGACUCGUUCGGCGCCUUACG
RNAcentral lists this ribosomal RNA (502 nucleotides) under uncultured Glomeromycotina. Its description in RNAcentral is "partial small subunit ribosomal RNA". It matches the Rfam family "Eukaryotic small subunit ribosomal RNA", at positions 591 to 1092 of the family's 1831-position model. The record is from RNAcentral. Lineage: Eukaryota; Fungi; Glomeromycota.